CUUCUCUCGCCAGGCGUCCUCGUGGAAGUGACAUCGUCUUUAAACCCUGCGUGGCAAUCCCUGACGCACCGCCGUGAUGCCCAGGGAAGACAGGGCGACCUGGAAGUCCAACUACUUCCUUAAGAUCAUCCAACUAUUGGAUGAUUAUCCGAAAUGUUUCAUCGUGGGAGCAGACAAUGUGGGCUCCAAGCAGAUGCAGCAGAUCCGCAUGUCCCUUCGCGGGAAGGCUGUGGUGCUGAUGGGCAAGAACACCAUGAUGCGCAAGGCCAUCCGAGGGCACCUGGAAAACAACCCAGCUCUGGAGAAGUCAGUUCCCCUGGCAGUUUUGUCCUUUCUCCCCAGUGCCCGUCUCCCUCUUCCUGGAGAAUGGUGCUGAAAGGUGAUUGUCUCCCAUAAACUUCUCUUUGCAGACUGCUGCCUCAUAUCCGGGGGAAUGUGGGCUUUGUGUUCACCAAGGAGGACCUCACUGAGAUCAGGGACAUGUUGCUGGCCAAUAAGGUGCCAGCUGCUGCCCGUGC
RNAcentral lists this small RNA (518 nucleotides) under Pan troglodytes (chimpanzee). RNAcentral's name for it is "retained intron". Lineage: Eukaryota; Metazoa; Chordata; Mammalia; Primates; Hominidae. The record is from RNAcentral.